RNAcentral lists this unclassified non-coding RNA (199 nucleotides) under uncultured fungus. RNAcentral describes it as "sequence contains ITS1". The record is from RNAcentral. Lineage: Eukaryota; Fungi.
UUAACUAUUGUAUGGUACUCGGACGACACUAAACUUCAGGGUUGGGGCCUCUGGCGGGCGCGCGUUAGCCGGGGCCAACGGUCGGGCAGAGCCCGACGGCCCGCCAAAGCAACAAAGGUAGUGAUAACACGGGGUGGGAGAUCUACCCGCGAGGGGCGCGAACUCUGUAAUGAUCCCUCCGCAGGUUCACCUACGGAGA